This 394-nucleotide ribosomal RNA is filed under the name uncultured archaeon. RNAcentral's name for it is "partial 16S ribosomal RNA". The record is from RNAcentral.
CCUACGGGGCGCAGCACGCCAGGCUUCCCUGUCCUUCACUAUCUCCUGGAGUUUGCUCAAACUCAGGUCCACUGAAUGCCAUCCAUCCAGCGCAUCCUCUGUCAUCCCCUUCUCCUCCUGCGGGGUUCUCCAAAUUUUGCUACUAGCCUCAUCACCAUCAUCCUCUUUUGGGAACCUGUUCAACGUGCACAGUCUUGGGCCCCACUCUGAAUCGACUGAAUCAAAUACUCUGUUGUUGCUGUUGUUCAGCCGCUAAGUCACGUCCGACUCUGUGACCCCAUGGACUGCAGCCAGGCUCCUCUGUCCUCCACUGUCUCCCUGAGUUUGCCCAAAUUCAUGUCCAUUGAGUAGGUGAUGCUUUCUAACCAUCUCAUCCUCUGCUGCACCCCGUAGG